Molecule: ribosomal RNA, 404 nt
Filed under: uncultured bacterium
Lineage: Bacteria
Description: bacterial SSU rRNA
Rfam family: Bacterial small subunit ribosomal RNA
Source: RNAcentral
UGGGGAAUCUUGCCCAAUGGGCGAAAGCCUGAGGCAGCAACGCCGCGUGUGGGAUGACGGCCUUCGGGUUGUAAACCACUUUCAGCAGGGACGAAAAUGACGGUACCUGCAGAAGAAGCUCCGGCCAACUACGUGCCAGCAGCCGCGGUAAUACGUAGGGAGCGAGCGUUGUCCGGAUUUAUUGGGCGUAAAGGGCGCGUAGGCGGUUAAGUAAGUCGGUUGUUAAAUCUCCAAGCUCAACUUGGAGCUGUCAUCCGAAACUGCUUUGACUUGAGUCUGGUAGGGGAACACGGAAUACCUGGUGUAGCGGUGAAAUGCUUAGAUAUCAGGUGGAACACCAGUGGCGAAGGCGGUGUUCUGGGCCAGUACUGACGCUGAUGCGCGAAAGCGUGGGGAGCGAACAG